This 723-nucleotide ribosomal RNA is filed under the name Triticum aestivum (bread wheat). RNAcentral describes it as "partial small subunit ribosomal RNA". Lineage: Eukaryota; Viridiplantae; Streptophyta; Magnoliopsida; Poales; Poaceae. The record is from RNAcentral.
AUGAGAUAUCGGCGGCCUCCCGCGAGGAGGACCGCCGGACGCAAUGAAUAUACUGUUCUGGAACUGCCGGGAGGGGGGGGGGACCGCCGGACAGUUCGUGAGGUCCUGGCCCUCUCAAAAGCCAACAUCCCCAAACUAGUCUUCCUCUGUGAGACUAGACAUGAUUCUGUUAAAGUGGAAAAGCUGCGUUGGAGACUCGGUUUGAAAGGCUUUCAUGGCGUCAGUAGCGAUGGAGGAAGUGGUGGUUUGGCUCUGUUCUGGGAUGAGUUGUUGACAGUGACGGUGCUAGAUUCUUGCAGCCGUUUUAUUGACGUCAAGGUAGUAGAUGGCGGCUCGGGCACUUCUUGGCGAGGAACUUUUGUCUAUGGGGAGCCACGUGUUGAGAAUCGUCAUCGGAUGUGGGAGCAACUGUGUGGGCUUAGGGCCAGCUCGCGGGAGCCAUGGGUGGUGUGCGGAGAUUUUAACGAGGCACUUUGGAAACAUGAGCAUCUCUCUGGUACGCCGCAGUCUGAAGCUCAAAUGGUGGCGUUUAGAGAUUGCUUGGAAAGGUGCGAGUUGGGGGACCUGGGCUUUUCAGGUUUUCCUUUCACCUACAAAAAUGGUCAGCAGGCGGAUCGGAAUGUUCAGGUCCGGAUGGACCGUGCAUGCGCUGAUGAGUCUGUUGGGGAACGUAGUAAUUUCAAAAAAUUUCCUACGCACACGCAAGAUCAUGGUGAUGCAUAG